RNAcentral lists this ribosomal RNA (351 nucleotides) under Leifsonia sp. Its description in RNAcentral is "bacterial SSU rRNA". It matches the Rfam family "Bacterial small subunit ribosomal RNA", at positions 584 to 931 of the family's 1533-position model. Lineage: Bacteria; Bacillati; Actinomycetota; Actinomycetes; Micrococcales; Microbacteriaceae. The record is from RNAcentral.
CGCGUCUGCUGUGAAAACCCGAGGCUCAACCUCGGGCCUGCAGUGGGUACGGGCAGACUAGAGUGCGGUAGGGGAGAAUGGAAUUCCUGGUGUAGCGGUGGAAUGCGCAGAUAUCAGGAGGAACACCGAUGGCGAAGGCAGUUCUCUGGGCCGUAACUGACGCUGAGGAGCGAAAGCGUGGGGAGCGAACAGGAUUAGAUACCCUGGUAGUCCACGCCGUAAACGUUGGGCGCUAGAUGUGGGGACCAUUCCACGGUUUCCGUGUCGCAGCUAACGCAUUAAGCGCCCCGCCUGGGGAGUACGGCCGCAAGGCUAAAACUCAAAGGAAUUGACGGGGGCCCCGCACAAGCG